UACGUAGGGGGCUAGCGUUGUCCGGAAUCAUUGGGCGUAAAGCGCGCGUAGGCGGCCCGGUAAGUCCGUUGUGAAAGUCAAAGGCUCAACCUUUGAAAGCCGAUGGAUACUGCCGGGCUAGAGUCCGGAAGAGGCGAGUGGAAUUCCUGGUGUAGCGGUGGAAUGCGCAGAUAUCAGGAGGAACACCGGUGGCGAAGGCGGGUCUCUGGGCCGAAAUUGACGCUGAGCCGCGAAAGCCAGGGGAGCGAACGGG
RNAcentral lists this ribosomal RNA (253 nucleotides) under uncultured bacterium. RNAcentral's name for it is "partial 16S ribosomal RNA". It matches the Rfam family "Bacterial small subunit ribosomal RNA", at positions 524 to 776 of the family's 1533-position model. The record is from RNAcentral.